RNAcentral lists this transfer RNA (71 nucleotides) under Marmota monax (woodchuck). Its description in RNAcentral is "tRNA.Ala". The record is from RNAcentral. Lineage: Eukaryota; Metazoa; Chordata; Mammalia; Rodentia; Sciuridae.
GGGGUUGUGGAUCAGUGGUAGAGUGCUUGCCUAGCAUGUAUGAGGCACUGGGUUCAAUUCUCAGUACCACG